RNAcentral lists this ribosomal RNA (253 nucleotides) under uncultured bacterium. RNAcentral's name for it is "partial 16S ribosomal RNA". It matches the Rfam family "Bacterial small subunit ribosomal RNA", at positions 524 to 776 of the family's 1533-position model. The record is from RNAcentral.
UACAGAGGGUGCAAGCGUUGCUCGGAUUUACUGGGCGUAAAGCGUACGCAGACGGUGGGCAAGGUCGGAUGUGAAAGCCCCGGGCUCAACCCGGGAACUGCGUCCGAUACUGGAGGGCUCGAAUCCGGGAGAGGGAUGUGGAAUUCCAGGUGUAGCGGUGAAAUGCGUAGAUAUCGGGAGGAACACCAGUGGCGAAGGCGGCGAUCUGGGAAGAUACUGACGCUGAGGUGCGAAAGCGUGGGGAGCAAACAGG